AGCAAAACUCUGUCUCAAAAAAAAAAAAAGAAAAAUUCACAGAUGAACUGUGUGGCCUACAGAUAUCUUGAAUGCAAAAAAUAUAUGUAGAUACUAGUCUAUCAUUUACUACCACAGAAUACACAAAUCUAUUAAAAGUUAAAUUUUAUGAAAACAUACAGACUGUACAUGUAAGCAAAUUUAAAAUGCAGUAUUAAAUCAUAACUCUGUAGCCGCCACUGUCCGGCCACAGCCCCACGCUCUUCGCUGUCACUUGUCAUCUCGCACAGGGUGGCUCCAGUUCUGGUGUUUGGCGCCAGAAUAAACCACCAUGUCGAGCAAAAAGGCAAAGACGAAGACCACCAAGAAAUGCCCUCAGUGCACAGUAUGCAAUGUGUUUGCCAUGUUUGACCAGUCACAGAUUCAGGAGUUCAAAGAGGCCUUCAACAUGAUUGAUCAGAACAGAGAUGGUUUCAUCAACAAGGAAGAUUUGCAUGAUAUGCUUGCUUCUCUAGGGAAGAAUCCCACUGAUUCCUACCUUGAUGCCAUGAUGAAUGAGGCACCAGGGCCCAUUAAUUUCACCAUGUUUGGUGAGAAGUUAAAUGGCACAGAUCCUGAAGAUGUCAUCAGAAAUGCUUUUGCUUGCUUUGAUGAAGAAGCAACAGGCACCAUUCAGGAAGAUUACCUGAGAGAGCUGAUGACAACCAUGGGGGAUCAGUUUACAGAUGAGGAAGUGGAUGAGCUGCACAGAGAAGCGCCUAUUGACAAAAAGGUGAAUUUCAAUUACUUCGAGUUCACAAGCAUCCUGAAACAUGGAGUAAAAGACAAAGAUGACUGAAAAGAACUUUAGCUAAAACCUUCCAAUUACAUUGUCUUACUCUGUUUUAUUUCUCACACACUUCCCCCACCCUCAUAGAACCUGUUGCAUGCAACUUAGUUUCACAGCUUUGUCUUUUUUUUAAUGUAUUUAUUCCAGAACUUUCUGCCACUUAGCACUUGUAUAAUCAGACUGGAAAUGGGGAUGAGGGCAUAAAUUGUAUUGAAAAAGAGAUCGCCAAUAAAAAUUAACAAAUGUGAAAGCCC
Molecule: RNA transcript, 1062 nt
Organism: Nomascus leucogenys (northern white-cheeked gibbon)
Lineage: Eukaryota; Metazoa; Chordata; Mammalia; Primates; Hylobatidae
Gene name: myosin regulatory light chain 12B pseudogene
Exons: 1
Source: RefSeq, a predicted model, not a curated record